UACCACUAACCAGUUCAUUCUCAAUCUGCAAUCACUGCCAAUCAGUCACUUGACGAGUUUUGGGCGAGGCGUUUUCAAAAUACUUUCAAUACUUCAAUUUUAAUACUUAAAUCCUGACGCUUACAAAAAAGAGAAAAAAGAGGUAUGUUCUUGUGUUUUAUAGUUUAUUGUAAAGUACUUCACAUUCAUGGCAUAAAAGUGAUUAAAUUUUGUGUUUAAUUCGGCCUCGUGUUCGGCCAUGUUUUCGCUUCGCUCGUCUUCCUAAAUUUGCAACGUUAAAUUUUUACAAAUAUUCUUUGUUGUCCGUUUUUUAUCCGCGAAGAAAUGCUUGGAUAUGAUAUUCUGUUUGUGGUUUAGUUGAAUUUAUUUUACAAAUUUCUCAUUUUCGUACUAAAAGUAAGAUAUAUUUAAAAUGGUAUUUCGCUGUACUUUAUCACUUGUAGUGAAAUGAAGCAAGGAAGGACCUAAAUAAUUCUUUUAACUAAGGAAUUUUUGGUGAAAAAAAACCGCUUAUGAAUUGUACAAUUGUACAGUUAAAAAAAUUAUAAUAGAUCAGAGAUUCGGGAAAACGGGAAAAAUCGCAAAAAGGUUAAUUACCACAAUUGCUAAAUUCUGCCAUGAAAUGAAAAAAUACUGACCAGCCUGGCCUUGGUGGAAUAUUAAGAAAUUCUUUUUAAUAUUCUAGUUUAUAAAUUAUAAUGAUGGCCAUUACAAUUUGUAUCAACCAUUUUUUGCAGAAUGCCCAAGUACGAAAUGUCAGUCCCCUUAAAGGGGGCUGACAUUAAUACAUUAAAAGAAAUGUUUGACAAAGAAAAAUACGAGAUCUCCUAUGACGGGGCGGUUUUCCACUGCCGCCUCUUAAAUAAAGAGAGCAAGAGGUGCCUGAGGUGGCAGUGGAAAAGCCGUGUUAAACGCAAAUUGAAGCGGCUGGUAAAAAGAAAAAUUAUGCUAGAACAACCCAAACCACCACCUGUGGGAAAACCUAUAAGGAAGGUCAGAAGGCGAAGUAAAAUGUUACAUACAUACCUACGUACAUACAUACAUCUAUAAUGAAAUUAAUGCAGAAAAUGCAAAUUAAAGAAAUGAAUGUGGAAAGACUGAUGAGUGUAUUUGAAACGUAUGGAAAUAUCAUUAUUAUUCAAGUACUCGCUGACAAGGGAUACGCUUUUAUAACAUAAGUCGAUUUGAUGAUCACUAUCCUGCAGCUGAAGCCAUUUGUAGUAUGCAUGGAGAGAAUCUUGAUGGAAACGUUUUAAAGUGUUCUUGGGGAAAAGAACAGGUCCGAAGAAUCCGUACGCAGGACAUAUGGCGCCAGGAUAUGCACAAGGAGGUCCACACAUGCAGAAUCAAGGUGGUCCAAGAAAUGGUCAGCAAGGCCCGAAUGGAGUUCACAAUACGGGCCCUCAAGGAAGGCGGUAUGGGAUAUUGAAUACAGCCUGCGGGUUUCAGGCUGGUGUUUGACGCAAGAGAUUCCCAACCUUGGGAAACAUGAACCAAAAAAAAUGAUGCCAAAACUUGUGUUUGGUGGUCAAAAAAAGUGGAGGGAAAUUCUCUGGUUGAACUGUUGAGCGUCAAAAUUAACGUCUCUCAAUGUAAUGUGAGGAAAUUGUAAAGCUAUAUGUUUAUCAGUCAGGAAACACUGUAAAAAAGAACAUGUUAAAUCAUUGUCAUCUUUGUCUAGCUUAGAUAUGUGUUUCGGUAGAAAUGAA
Molecule: unclassified non-coding RNA, 1709 nt
Filed under: Dendronephthya gigantea
Lineage: Eukaryota; Metazoa; Cnidaria; Anthozoa; Malacalcyonacea; Nephtheidae
Description: uncharacterized LOC114515829, transcript variant X1
Source: RNAcentral